This 179-nucleotide non-coding RNA is filed under the name Gammaproteobacteria bacterium. RNAcentral's name for it is "6S RNA". It matches the Rfam family "6S / SsrS RNA". Rfam says of the family: E. coli 6S RNA was the first non coding RNA to be sequenced, but its function was unknown until recently. It consists of 184 nucleotides that fold into an extended hairpin structure with a large single-stranded internal bulge. The record is from RNAcentral. Lineage: Bacteria; Pseudomonadati; Pseudomonadota; Gammaproteobacteria.
CGGCGACUGCGAUAUUCGUUAGCUGAUUUGGGUAUUCUUGAGCCGUAAAUAAAGCCCCUGGGGGUAAUUUUCCGGUAUUGUGUGCAUGUCCGCCCGACGGAAAGCCUGAUAUGCCGGAUGCGCUCCCACUUGAACUUCUGGUUCAAGACGAAAAUCGCGACGGUAUCCGUGGUUGCCGC